GAGGAAACCCAGGACUUGAGAGAGCCAUACAAUUUGAAAGACGAAGCACCGUGAAAUGCAGAAAGUUGUGGUUCGGAUAGCUCAGCUGAUUAAUUUCAUGUUGCCACAGUUUGUCAAACAUGGACAAGAUGGCUGGGGUCCUGUGGAGUUCUAGUAAUCUUCUUACGAUAAUAAAGCAACCUUAUGCCAUAUGAUAUGCUAAGGAUGGAGGAAGAUAGAGUCUAGGUGCCUGAUGACAACAUGGAGCUGUCAAGCCCUGCAUUGCCUCCCCCUGGACGUCUCAUUAUGGGAGAAAAUGAAGCAAUUUGUUUAAGCCACA
This 319-nucleotide long non-coding RNA is filed under the name Homo sapiens (human). Its description in RNAcentral is "TUBA1B antisense RNA 1". The record is from RNAcentral. Lineage: Eukaryota; Metazoa; Chordata; Mammalia; Primates; Hominidae.